CCUGCCUGGGAAGAUGCUGCCAAGGAGGCACCUUAAGAAAUCGAAAGGUGCACCUGGAGCCACUUAAAUGAAGGGACCUUGUUAGGGAGGCCUAAUUGGGCUGCAGGAGUUAGCCCACCUGUGAGGCAGGGCUGCAGGAGCUCACAAAAGCAGGAGUGAGCUACUCUUGCCUGGGAGCCUUUUUGCGUCAAGUUUUCUCCUUUAUUCUGGGAGUUGAACUUGGAGGAAGCUCGAGAAUUUGGGACAACAGCCUAAAUCCAUCAAAACCCUUUCGGGUGUUUCUCUGAUGUCACUGUGGCAGUGGCUGGAGUGUCACCAUCGCGCGUUGUGACCUCACGUGCUCAAUUACCAAAAUCCUCGCGGCAGGAAAUGUGUGCACCGGUGCCCUUUGGAAGUGUUGGUGUUUAACCCUCUGCACUGCAAUUAGAAAGGGGAAAAAAAAAAAAAAAGCCCAGCUCCAGGUUGCGCUUGCAUGGAUGUUUUCUGCCCUGAACCAUGCCCGCAUCCCGUGACAGAUGGUCACGUUAAAUCUACUUGGCGUUAAAUCUACUGCCCGUGUCCAUGAAACGCAGCGACUGAAACAGAGCAUGGGGUGACCGGUUCUUAGAGAUAAAACAACCCUUGCGGUCCCACAGCCCAUACCCUGUGAGAUGAAAUCCUACAGAGAUGCAGGAAUGACCCCGGUGCCUCCCUGCUCAUCCUAUAUCCUGCUUGCAUCGUGGACACUGACUGCGAGGUGCCGAGUUUAUAUUUGUAAUAUAGAUGGACUAUAAAUGUUGGACUGGGAGGAGUCUGACACCUCUGAGCCAUGGGUGACGAGCUUGGAGAGCCCCCGGGACACAGCAGAAGCUGUCCUGGGCUGGGGUGUGCUCGUGGGGCUGCAUGCAAGGACCCCAUCCUGCUCUGGAGGUGAUGCUGGGGUCGGUGUUUCACCCCAAAGGGCUGCUUCAGAGCUGCUAAGGGAUGGCAUCUGAUUGCCUCCCGUGGUCACCAGCGUUUCUGUUUCAUCAGAUGCAACACGCAAUCACCAGAGUUUGGUGAAGUGUUCACGAAACAAGUGUUCCUUCCUUGUACGGAGCCGUCUGCGCAGCGAUGGCUAACUGCAGCGUAAUUAUCAGGCCGUGGUGAAUAAUUCAUAGCGAGUAAUUUAAUCAUCCCAGCCCUUUCUGCCUAAAUCAGGUAGUGACUCACGGUUUCUGUGAAUUAUUCUUAGAGCAGUUUAAUGGCACCAAUUUUAUGAGGGGAGGUCAAUCAGCAGCGUUUGAAGCCCGGCGGUGGCAGGUGGCUCUGUUCCUUGACCGGGCAGGGACAGGUUUUUUUUUGCAGGAGCUUGAAAGAGGUGAAAUAAAAAUGGUUCCCUCUGUACGGACUCACUGCUCUGAGACCUGUUAGUCCAGAAUGGCUUUGCUGGUGAAAUUAGGGUGCUGAAAUAUUCACGGCAAAAGCAAAUACAGACACAGUGAGGUUGGGUUUUCAUUGCUUACCCGGGUGCAACGAUUGCGGACCACCACGGAUCCACGUGUGGAGCCCCUGGCCUCGAGGAGCUGCAGGGAUGGGAGGAAGAGGAGGCUUUCUGCCCGCAGAAAGGAUGCCAGCAGUAGAAGCAUCGUGUGCAUUUCCCUGCCAGGUCUUCUGCCUGGGGAGCUUUCUGAUCUAUCUCCCCAAUUGGCUUUCCCCAGGAGCGCGUGCGCUGCCUUCGCCUCCCAAAACACACACGAUCCGUCACAAUUUGCAGCCUCCGCUUCAGCGAGGAGGGGGCAGACGAAUUCAUCUCUAUAAACGCUUCCUUUUUUAUUACAGUUAAUGCGCACCUUUUGCCUUGUGUAAUGGACCUUUCAUUUUUUUGGAAAAAAAAAAUAAGCUUGACAUCUUCCUAUUUUAUGUCUUCUUUUUCCUUUUGCUGCGCACAGCAUCCUGCUCCAUCUGCGUGAUCCAGGCAGAGUAAUGGGGCAGGAUGCGUGCAGCUUUUCUUUCUCCACAUCACCCUUUGAAAUUUUGGGGUGCAGUGCUCUUGGGAUGGAUGCACGACCCUUUUGUUCCGCAAGGACUGCCUGCGGCUGGGCUCCUGCGGUGAGGGACCGUCUCCUUUGGCUUUGGCGUGUUGGAGUGUAAAAGAGCUGACCCUGCCAGGAUCAGGCUUGACCCCAAACUGUUAAGGAAAAAUGUCGAGACAGAUUGGAGGCCCUGACCGCUUUGGUUUUUCCCCUCUCGUGUCCUCGAGCUGUUUUCUGCAGCUGCAAGGAAGUUUCAGAGUGCGGUGCAGCACCCCUACCUGCCUGCUCUGGUGCGUGCCCACAUCCCUGCGUGGUGCUGGUGGGUGUCAGCCCAUGGUGCUGGGUGGCUGUAGGGUGGCAGUGCAUCCCAGGAGAGCAUCACCCAGCUCCUGGGUCCUGAAUUGGUGGUGCUCCGUUGCUGAGAUGGGGCAAGUCCUAGCUUUGGGCUCAUCCCCCUCUUAGUGCUCCCCACUUCCAUCAGGGGACAGGAAGGCUGAAGCCAUAUGGAGUCUGGCUUCUGUUUUCCAGGAAGCCUUGUGAAUCUGUCUUUAAAAGAAGAAAUCUAUUUUAUUUUUUUAAGGCAACCUGCCCUGGAGGCUUGCUACAAUGCUUUUUAAACUGAGACUGUAGCUUGCACGGUGCCCACUUAAGAGCUCAGCUGGAGGGAAGAUGAUCCGGCUUUAGAAAAGUGCAUGU
Cygnus olor (mute swan) is the source of this 2690-nucleotide long non-coding RNA. RefSeq lists it as uncharacterized. NCBI's taxonomy places the organism in Eukaryota, Metazoa, Chordata, Aves, Anseriformes, Anatidae. The transcript is spliced from 4 exons. The record is from RefSeq and is a predicted model, not a curated record.